This 436-nucleotide ribosomal RNA is filed under the name uncultured fungus. RNAcentral's name for it is "eukaryotic LSU rRNA". It matches the Rfam family "Eukaryotic large subunit ribosomal RNA", at positions 1 to 432 of the family's 3401-position model. The record is from RNAcentral. Lineage: Eukaryota; Fungi.
GACCUCAAAUCAGGUAGGACUACCCGCUGAACUUAAGCAUAUCAAUAAGCGGAGGAAAAGAAACUAACAAGGAUUCCCCUAGUAACUGCGAGUGAAGAGGGAAAAGCUCAAAUUUAAAAUCUGUCAGUCUUUGGCUGACCGAGUUGUAAAUUAGAGAAGUGCUAUCUGCGCUGGCCUGUGCAAAAGUCUCUUGGAAAAGAGCAUCAUAGAGGGUGACAAUCCCGUCUUUGGUACAGAGCUCCAGGGCUUCAUGAUGUGCUCUCAAUGAGUCGAGUUGUUUGGGAAUGCAGCUCUAAUGGGUGGUAAAUUCCAUCUAAAGCUAAAUAUUGGCGAGAAACCGAUAGCGCACAAGUACCGUGAGGGAAAGAUGAAAAGAACUUUGAAAAGAGAGUUAAACAGUACGUGAAAUUGUUGAAAGGGAAACGCUUGAAGUCAG